ACAGCAGUAGCCGCGGUAAUACGUAGGUGGCAAGCGUUGUCCGGAAUUAUUGGGCGUAAAGGGCUCGCAGGCGGUUUCUUAAGUCUGAUGUGAAAGCCCCCGGCUCAACCGGGGAGGGUCAUUGGAAACUGGGAAACUUGAGUGCAGAAGAGGAGAAUGGAAUUCCACGUGUAGCGGUGAAAUGCGUAGAGAUGUGGAGGAACACCAGUGGCGAAGGCGACUCUCUGGUCUGUAACUGACGCUGAGGAGCGAAAGCGUGGGGAGCGAACAGGAUUAGAUACCCCUGUAGUCCCUGUCUCUUAUAC
This 305-nucleotide ribosomal RNA is filed under the name uncultured bacterium. RNAcentral describes it as "partial 16S ribosomal RNA". It matches the Rfam family "Bacterial small subunit ribosomal RNA", at positions 506 to 807 of the family's 1533-position model. The record is from RNAcentral.